AUUGAACGCUGGCGGCAUGCUUUACACAUGCAAGUCGAACGGUAACAGGUUAAGCUGGCGAGUGGCGAACGGGGGAGUAAUGCAUCGGAACGUGCCCGAUCGUGGGGGAUAACGCAGCGAAAGCUGCGCUAAUACCGCAUACGAUCGGAGGAUGAAAGCGGGGGACCGUAAGGCCUCGCGCGAUCGGAGCGGCCGAUGUCAGAUUAGGUAGUUGGUGGGGUAAAGGCCCACCAAGCCGACGAUCUGUAGCUGGUCUGAGAGGACGACCAGCCACACUGGGACUGAGACACGGCCCAGACUCCUACGGGAGGCAGCAGUGGGGAAUUUUGGACAAUGGGCGAAAGCCUGAUCCAGCAAUGCCGCGUGCAGGAAGAAGGCCUUCGGGUUGUAAACUGCUUUUGUACGGAGCGAAAAGGUCCUUUCUAAUACAAGGGGCUCAUGACGGUACCGUAAGAAUAAGCACCGGCUAACUACGUGCCAGCAGCCGCUGUAA
This 493-nucleotide ribosomal RNA is filed under the name uncultured bacterium. RNAcentral's name for it is "partial 16S ribosomal RNA". It matches the Rfam family "Bacterial small subunit ribosomal RNA", at positions 29 to 523 of the family's 1533-position model. The record is from RNAcentral.